This 293-nucleotide ribosomal RNA is filed under the name uncultured bacterium. Its description in RNAcentral is "partial 16S ribosomal RNA". It matches the Rfam family "Archaeal small subunit ribosomal RNA", at positions 455 to 747 of the family's 1478-position model. The record is from RNAcentral.
GUGCCAGCCGCCGCGGUAAUACCGGCAGCUCAAGUGAUGGCCGAUCUUAUUGGGCCUAAAGCGUCCGUAGCUGGCCUCGCAAGUCCAUCGGAAAAUCCACCCGCCCAACGGGUGGGCGUCCGGUGGAAACUGCGUGGCUUGGGACCGGAAGGCUCGAAGGGUACGGCCGGGGUAGGAGUGAAAUCCUGUAAUCCCGUCCGGACCACCGAUGGCGAAAGCACUUCGAGAAAACGGAUCCGACAGUGAGGGACGAAAGCUAAGAUCGCGAACCGGAUUAGAAACCCCGGUAGUCC